RNAcentral lists this ribosomal RNA (569 nucleotides) under Pseudopaludicola llanera (Lynch's swamp frog). Its description in RNAcentral is "partial 16S ribosomal RNA". It matches the Rfam family "Bacterial large subunit ribosomal RNA", at positions 1819 to 2598 of the family's 2925-position model. The record is from RNAcentral. Lineage: Eukaryota; Metazoa; Chordata; Amphibia; Anura; Leptodactylidae.
CGCCUCUUGAACCCAUGUAAGAGGUCCAGCCUGCCCAGUGACUUUGUUCAACGGCCGCGGUAUCCUAACCGUGCGAAGGUAGCGUAAUCAUUUGUUCUUUAAAUAAGGACUAGUAUGAAUGGCAUCACGAAGGUUAUACUGUCUCCUUUUUCUAAUCAGUGAAACUAAUCUCCCCGUGAAGAAGCGAGGAUAAAAAUAUAAGACGAGAAGACCCUAUGGAGCUUCAAACUAAAUAACAUUUACUUUAUUAAUUUCCAUCUUGAGAGCUAUCCAAUCUACCAUCGUAAAAUGAUUAUUAGUUUUGGGUUGGGGUGACCUUGGAGUAAAAUACAACCUCCACGUCGUAAAAUUCUAGCAAUUUAAGCCAAGAGUUACAACUCUAAGCAUCAAAACUUUGACGUUAAUUGACCCAAUAUUUGAUCAACGAACCAAGUUACCCUAGGGAUAACAGCGCAAUCCACUUCAAGAGCUCCUAUCGACAAGUGGGUUUACGACCUCGAUGUUGGAUCAGGGUAUCCCAGUGGUGCAGCCGCUACUAAUGGUUCGUUUGUUCAACGAUUAAAACCCUA